Molecule: ribosomal RNA, 533 nt
Filed under: uncultured bacterium
Lineage: Bacteria
Description: bacterial SSU rRNA
Rfam family: Bacterial small subunit ribosomal RNA
Source: RNAcentral
GAGUUUGAUCCUGGCUCAGAAUCAACGCUGGCGGCGUGCCUAAUACAUGCAAGUCGAACGCGAAAGUCCCGCAAGGGAUGAGUAGAGUGGCAAACGGGUGAGUAACACGUGGGUGACCUGCCUUCGAGCGGGGGAUAACGUCCCGAAAGGGACGCUAAUACCGCAUGACAUCCUGCCUUUGAAGAGGCGGAGAUCAAAGCUGGGGAUCGCAAGACCUGGCACUUGAAGAGGGGCCCGCGCCUGAUUAGCUAGUUGGUGGGGUAACGGCUCACCAAGGCAACGAUCAGUAUCCGGCCUGAGAGGGCGGACGGACACACUGGGACUGAGACACGGCCCAGACUCCUACGGGAGGCAGCAGUAGGGAAUUGUUCGCAAUGGGCGCAAGCCUGACGACGCAACGCCGCGUGGAGGAUGAAGACCUUCGGGUCGUAACUCCUUUCGAUCGAGACGAAUGGCUUCCGGCUGAAUAAUCCGGGAGAAGUGACGGUACCGAGAGAAGAAGCCCGGCUAACUCCGUGCCAGCCGCCGACCGG